RNAcentral lists this ribosomal RNA (252 nucleotides) under uncultured bacterium. RNAcentral's name for it is "partial 16S ribosomal RNA". It matches the Rfam family "Bacterial small subunit ribosomal RNA", at positions 524 to 776 of the family's 1533-position model. The record is from RNAcentral.
UACGUAGGGGGCAAGCGUUGUCCGGAAUUAUUGGGCGUAAAGCGCGCGCAGGCGGCCUUGUAAGUCUGUUGUUUAAACUUGGGGCUCAACCCCGAGUCGCAAUGGAAACUGCAAAGCUUGAGUACAGAAGAGGAAAGUGGAAUUCCACGUGUAGCGGUGAGAUGCGUAGAGAUGUGGAGGAACACCAGUGGCGAAGGCGACUUUCUGGGCUGUAACUGACGCUGAGGCGCGAAAGCGUGGGGAGCAAACAGG